RNAcentral lists this ribosomal RNA (301 nucleotides) under uncultured bacterium. RNAcentral's name for it is "partial 16S ribosomal RNA". It matches the Rfam family "Bacterial small subunit ribosomal RNA", at positions 509 to 807 of the family's 1533-position model. The record is from RNAcentral.
CAGUAGCCGCGGGAAUACGUAGGGUGCGAGCGUUAAUCGGAAUUACUGGGCGUAAAGCGUGCGCAGGCGGUUGUGUAAGACAGGUGUGAAAUCCCCGGGCUUAACCUGGGAACUGCGCUUGUGACUGCACAGCUAGAGUAUGGCAGAGGGGGGCGGAAUUCCACGUGUAGCAGUGAAAUGCGUAGAGAUGUGGAGGAACACCGAUGGCGAAGGCAGCCCCCUGGGCCAAUACUGACGCUCAUGCACGAAAGCGUGGGGAGCAAACAGGAUUAGAUACCCCCGUAGUCCCUGUCUCUUAUAC